RNAcentral lists this ribosomal RNA (440 nucleotides) under uncultured Anaerolineaceae bacterium. Its description in RNAcentral is "bacterial SSU rRNA". It matches the Rfam family "Bacterial small subunit ribosomal RNA", at positions 929 to 1382 of the family's 1533-position model. Lineage: Bacteria; Bacillati; Chloroflexota; Anaerolineae; Anaerolineales; Anaerolineaceae. The record is from RNAcentral.
GCAGCGGAGCGUGUGGUUUAAUUCGAUGCUACACGAAGAACCUUACCAGGGUUUGACAUACAAGUAGUAGGGAAAGGAAACUGGACCGACCCUUCGGGGAGCUUGUACAGGUGCUGCAUGGCUGUCGUCAGCUCGUGUCGUGAGAUGUUCGGUUAAGUCCGCUAACGAGCGCAACCCUCGCUGUGUGUUACAAGUGUCACACGGAACUGCCGGUCAUAAACCGGAGGAAGGUGGGAUGACGUCAAGUCAGCAUGGCCUUUAUAUCCAGGGCUACACACACGCUACAAUGGCCGGUACAACGGGAUGCCAAGCCGCGAGGCGGAGCUAAUCUCCCAAAGCCGGUCUCAGUUCAGAUUGCAGGCUGCAACCCGCCUGCAUGAAGUCGGAGUUGCUAGUAACCGCAGGUCAGCUAUACUGCGGUGAAUACGUUCCCGGGCCUU